RNAcentral lists this transfer RNA (73 nucleotides) under Myotis lucifugus (little brown bat). It matches the Rfam family "tRNA". Rfam says of the family: Transfer RNA (tRNA) molecules are approximately 80 nucleotides in length. The record is from Rfam by way of RNAcentral. Lineage: Eukaryota; Metazoa; Chordata; Mammalia; Chiroptera; Vespertilionidae.
GCCGGUGUGGCUCAGUGGAUAGAGCAUCAGCCUGUGGAUUGAAGGAUCGCAGGUUCGAUUCCGGUCAAGAGCA